RNAcentral lists this unclassified non-coding RNA (230 nucleotides) under Hevea brasiliensis (rubber tree). Lineage: Eukaryota; Viridiplantae; Streptophyta; Magnoliopsida; Malpighiales; Euphorbiaceae. The record is from RNAcentral.
GGGACAGUAACUCCAUUGUGCAUGUUUAUCAUGGCCAUGUUUUGGUGGCUGCAUGAGCACAGAACAAAAGGCCAAGUGAUGGCCAUUAUGUGGAUGACUUGGGGGCAGAAAAGGUUAGCAUAAGUGCUGGCCAAAGAGAAUUUUUUAAGAAGAGUAUUUUUGGCCAUUCUGUGUGCAUUUUUCAGGGUAGUAGAGAGAUGCAUUAAAGAGGGCAUUAUGCUGUGCAUUUC